UGGGGAAUAUUGCACAAUGGGCGCAAGCCUGAUGCAGCCAUGCCGCGUGUGUGAAGAAGGCCUUCGGGUUGUAAAGCACUUUCAGCGAGGAGGAAGGGUAGUGUGUUAAUAGCACAUUGCAUUGACGUUACUCGCAGAAGAAGCACCGGCUAACUCCGUGCCAGCAGCCGCGGUAAUACGGAGGGUGCAAGCGUUAAUCGGAAUUACUGGGCGUAAAGCGCACGCAGGCGGUUUGUUAAGUCAGAUGUGAAAUCCCCGCGCUUAACGUGGGAACUGCAUUUGAAACUGGCAAGCUAGAGUCUUGUAGAGGGGGGUAGAAUUCCAGGUGUAGCGGUGAAAUGCGUAGAGAUCUGGAGGAAUACCGGUGGCGAAGGCGGCCCCCCUGGACAAAGACUGA
RNAcentral lists this ribosomal RNA (397 nucleotides) under uncultured bacterium. Its description in RNAcentral is "partial 16S ribosomal RNA". It matches the Rfam family "Bacterial small subunit ribosomal RNA", at positions 355 to 743 of the family's 1533-position model. The record is from RNAcentral.